RNAcentral lists this long non-coding RNA (1531 nucleotides) under Gadus morhua (Atlantic cod). Its description in RNAcentral is "lncRNA (ENSGMOG00000024499.1)". The record is from RNAcentral. Lineage: Eukaryota; Metazoa; Chordata; Actinopteri; Gadiformes; Gadidae.
AAACGGAAGGUGGCACAUGGAACCACGGCUGUGGUCUCCAAAGGAAAGAAGGCCCGCCUUGAGGUUGGUAAAUUCUCAUUGAAAUAUGUACUUUUUUUUGGUUGAAACACAGGAACAACUAUUUUUUGAUUUCGCCUUUACUACAAGAGAUAGUCCAACAUUCUCUGUGUAGGUAUUGUUUUGCCAAUGAUUUACAAUUAUUUUCCAGGCACUUCAAACUCCAGCAAGGAUUGCUAAACCUUCGAAGCUGGUACCUCCCCCUCGACCUGUGCCAGAAGCUGCUGUGCCAGCCACUCUGGAGGGCGUACCUCCUCCUCGACCUGUUCCAGAAGCUGCUGUGCCAGCCACUCUGGAGGGCAGCGUCUUUGUGCCUUCGAGCAAGGUAAUUUGCAUACAACAUGUGAUGAUUACACACAUUAAGUGAAUAGAGUGCGGUUCUCUAUUCUUUUGAUAUUUUCUCUAAGUUCCCUUUAAGAAAGUGUAGUUUUGUGUUUCCAUUUCUCAAUUGUAUUGUACAUAUAAUUCUUACUAUGUCAUUACAGUUUGCUCAACCGGAGGGGGAUGACAAGACUCUGUGUGUUGAUGAGUGGCCGUUUCUUCAAACAGACUUUUGUGAGAAGGUGAACCAGCCAACUGCUCGGGUUGUCUCUGGACAGAGAAAACAAGAGGAGCCAACACCUUGGGGUCCAAAAGUUGUGAUGGCCCAGGCUGAUAAACCAACAGCCAAUGAGACCAGCUUCUUGGGGUGUUCAACCAAGGUAAUGACAACAAUAUAAAAAAUGAUUUGCAAAUAAGCAAUCAAUCUGUUCCAGGAUCAGUAUCUAGUAACAUUUACAUUAUUACUUCAUAAUUACAAUCAACAUAGUUUAACUGUUUUUAACAUGUUCUUGGUAAUAUCUACACACUAUGAAUUGGAAAUGUCAAGAAGGUUGGCUGAUGAACUUGUUGUGCUCAUUUUAAUUAUUUAAACUGAACUGAAAUAAAAGUUUUCUUUGUCCUUAAUUCUGUUCACCACAAUACACUAAAUGUCCCCUUUUCUAUGGCUAAUGAGUUUGCAUGUAGGGGUAAACCUCAAUUUUUUAACAUUCGUAAUGUUUGUGAUUGCAGAUGACACACAUUGAGGACCACGAGCCGUUUGAACCAGCACCUGAGGUCACUGCGAGCAGUCAGCAGGUAUGUAAUUACUAGUGGAAAAAUUGUAUACCAACGGGAAAAGCCACAGCUUAAGAGACCCAUUUUGUUUUGAUGUGUUUAUUCUUUUAAAACAUUGAUAUGGUGUAAGUGUGCAGUUCUGACUAAUUUGCCUAUACUAUGUACAUUUUCAAAUUACUUGGGAACCAACAUGCUUUUAAAAACACUGAAUUGUCAUUUCAGCAGAGCCCGCCUGAGGACAAUGGCCAGCUUGAAGAUCCUCAUGUAACACUUGGCAAUCAGAAGGUACUUAUUUUUAACAUGUUAUUCCCUGUUCCUUGUGAGUUUUCCUGCCAUUUAUUAGAUCUGGGAAAUUAGUUAAAGUAAUGUUCAUAUCAUG